CGUGAUAAGCUGCGAAAAGUCACGGGGAGGUGCAAAUAACCCUUGAUCCGUGAAUCUCCGAAUGGGACAACCCGGUAUCCUGAAGGGAUAUCACCUUACUAAUGUAAGGAGCAAACGCAGGGAACUGAAACAUCUUAGUACCUGCAGGAAAAGAAAAUAACAAUGAUUCCCCCAGUAGUGGCGAGCGAACGGGGAAUAGCCCAAACCAACAGUGUUACGGCA
This 222-nucleotide ribosomal RNA is filed under the name Bacteroides caecigallinarum. RNAcentral's name for it is "partial 23S ribosomal RNA". It matches the Rfam family "Bacterial large subunit ribosomal RNA", at positions 57 to 290 of the family's 2925-position model. The record is from RNAcentral. Lineage: Bacteria; Pseudomonadati; Bacteroidota; Bacteroidia; Bacteroidales; Bacteroidaceae.